This 326-nucleotide ribosomal RNA is filed under the name uncultured Omnitrophica bacterium. RNAcentral describes it as "bacterial SSU rRNA". It matches the Rfam family "Bacterial small subunit ribosomal RNA", at positions 29 to 351 of the family's 1533-position model. The record is from RNAcentral. Lineage: Bacteria; Pseudomonadati; Candidatus Omnitrophota.
AGUGAACGCUGGCGGCGUGGAUUAGGCAUGCAAGUCGAACGAUCCCGCAAGGGAUAGUGGCAAAAGGGUGAGUAACACGUGAGCAACUUACCUUCAGAUGGGGAACAACCUUGGGAAACCGAGGCUAAAACCGCAUAUGACCACGGCUCGGCAUCGAGCUGUGAUAAAAGUGGGGACCGCAAGGCCUACUGUCUGAAGAUGGGCUCACGUCCUAUCAGCUUGUUGGUGAGGUAACGGCUCACCAAGGCUUUUGACGGGUAGCUGGUCUGAGAGGAUGGUCAGCCACAUUGGGACUGAGACACUGCCCAGACUCCUACGGGAGGCUG